GAGGGGUGACCGUUAGGCUGCUAACCUGACACCACCCAAGACUAACCACUUGGCCCCCU
RNAcentral lists this transfer RNA (59 nucleotides) under Hemidactylus fasciatus (banded leaf-toed gecko). RNAcentral's name for it is "tRNA-Ser". Lineage: Eukaryota; Metazoa; Chordata; Lepidosauria; Squamata; Gekkonidae. The record is from RNAcentral.